GCCGAGAUGCUGGAACUGGUAGACAGGCUGGACUUAGAAUCCAGUGCCCGUUAAGGGUGUGCAGGUUCAAAUCCUGUUCUCGGCACAA
RNAcentral lists this transfer RNA (88 nucleotides) under Candidatus Pacebacteria bacterium RIFCSPHIGHO2_01_FULL_46_16. RNAcentral describes it as "tRNA-Leu". It matches the Rfam family "tRNA". Rfam says of the family: Transfer RNA (tRNA) molecules are approximately 80 nucleotides in length. Their secondary structure includes four short double-helical elements and three loops (D, anti-codon, and T loops). The record is from RNAcentral. Lineage: Bacteria; Bacillati; Minisyncoccota. RNAcentral also lists the same sequence under 2 other names.